GACGAACGCUGGCGGCGUGCUUAACACAUGCAAGUCGAACGGAAAGGCCCUGCUUUUGUGGGGUGCUCGAGUGGCGAACGGGUGAGUAACACGUGAGUAACCUGCCCUUGACUUUGGGAUAACUUCAGGAAACUGGGGCUAAUACCGGAUAGGAGCUCCUGCUGCAUGGUGGGGGUUGGAAAGUUUCGGCGGUUGGGGAUGGACUCGCCGCUUAUCAGCUUGUUGGUGGGGUAGUGGCUUACCAAGGCUUUGACGGGUAGCCGGCCUGAGAGGGUGACCGGCCACAUUGGGACUGGGAUGCGGCACAGACUCCUACGGGAGGCAGCAGUGGGGAAUAUUGCACAAUGGGCGGAAGCCUGAUGCAGCAACGCCGCGUGCGGGAUGACGGCCUUCGGGUUGUAAUCCGCUUUCGCCUGUGACGAAGCGUGAGUGACGGUAAUGGGUAAAGAAGCACCGGCUAACUACGUG
This 468-nucleotide ribosomal RNA is filed under the name uncultured bacterium. Its description in RNAcentral is "partial 16S ribosomal RNA". It matches the Rfam family "Bacterial small subunit ribosomal RNA", at positions 28 to 507 of the family's 1533-position model. The record is from RNAcentral.